This 320-nucleotide ribosomal RNA is filed under the name uncultured Nitratireductor sp. RNAcentral's name for it is "bacterial SSU rRNA". It matches the Rfam family "Bacterial small subunit ribosomal RNA", at positions 505 to 826 of the family's 1533-position model. The record is from RNAcentral. Lineage: Bacteria; Pseudomonadati; Pseudomonadota; Alphaproteobacteria; Hyphomicrobiales; Phyllobacteriaceae.
GUGCCAGCCGCAGCGGUAAUACGAAGGGGCUAGCGUUGUUCGGAAUUACUGGGCGUAAAGCGCACGUAGGCGGAUUGUUAAGUGAGGGUGAAAUCCCAGAGCUCAACCCUGGAACUGCCUCUCAUACUGGCAAUCUCGAGUUCGAGAGAGGUGAGUGGAAUUCCGAGUGUAGAGGUGAAAUUCGUAGAUAUUCGGAGGAACACCAGUGGCGAAGGCGGCUCACUGGCUCGAUACUGACGCUGAGGUGCGAAAGCGUGGGAGCGAAACAGGAUUAGAUACCCUGGUAGUCCACGCCGUAAACGAUGAAUGCUAGCCGUCGC